This 508-nucleotide ribosomal RNA is filed under the name uncultured bacterium. RNAcentral's name for it is "partial 16S ribosomal RNA". It matches the Rfam family "Bacterial small subunit ribosomal RNA", at positions 28 to 507 of the family's 1533-position model. The record is from RNAcentral.
GACGAACGCUGGCGGCGUGCUUAACACAUGCAAGUCGAACGGGAUAAUUUGAGAGCUUGCUCUUAGAGAAUCUAGUGGCAAACGGGUGAGUAACACGUAGACAACCUGCCGACAGGAUGGGGACAACAUUCCGAAAGGAAUGCUAAUACCGAAUGAAGCGGAGGAGGGGCAUCUCUCCUCCGUGAAAGAUGGCCUCUGAAUAUGCUAUCACCUGUCGAUGGGUCUGCGUCUGAUUAGCUAGUUGGUGAGGUAACGGCUCACCAAGGCGACGAUCAGUAGCCGGUCUGAGAGGAUGAACGGCCACAUUGGGACUGAGACACGGCCCAGACUCCUACGGGAGGCAGCAGUGGGGAAUCUUCCGCAAUGGGCGCAAGCCUGACGGAGCAACGCCGCGUGAGUGAAGAAGGUCUUCGGAUCGUAAAGCUCUGUUGACGGGGACGAACGUGCGAAGGGUGAAUAAUCCUUUGUAAUGACGGUACCUGUCGAGGAAGCCACGGCUAACUACGUG